AGAGUUUGAUCAUGGCUCAGAAUCAACGCUGGCGGCGCGCUUAACACAUGCAAGUCGAACGAGAAAGCGGGAGCAAUCUCGCAAGUACAGUGGCGUACGGGUGAGUAACACGUGGGUAAUCUACCUCAUAGUGGGGAAUAACGCUGGGAAACCGGCGCUAAUACCGCAUAAGCUCGAAAGAGGAAAGCAGCAAUGCGCUGUGAGAGGAGCCCGCGGCCGAUUAGCCAGUUGGCAGGGUAAAAGCCUACCAAAGCUGAGAUCGGUAGCCGGCCUGAGAGGGCACACGGCCACACUGGCACUGAAACACGGGCCAGACUCCUACGGGAGGCAGCAGUGGGGAAUCUUGCACAAUGGGGGCAACCCUGAUGCAGCGACGCCGCGUGAGCGAUGAAGCCCUUCGGGGUGUAAAGCUCUUUCGGCAGGGACGAUGAUGACGGUACCUGCAGAAGCAGCUGCGGCUAACUACGUGCCAGCAGCCGCGGUAAUACGUAGGCAGCGAGCGUUGUUCGGAGUUACUGGGCGUAAAGGGUGUGUAGGCGGUUCUCUAAGUUUGGUGUGAAAUCUCCCGGCUUAACCGGGAGGGUGCGCCGAAAACUGGAAGGCUAGAGUGCGGGAUGGGAGAGUAGAAUUCCUGGUGUAGCGGUGAAAUGCGUAGAUAUCAGGAGGAAUACCGGUGGUGUAGACGGCUCUCUGGACCGCGACUGACGCUGAGACACGAAAGCGUGGGUAGCAAACAGGAUUAGAUACCCUAGUAGUCC
RNAcentral lists this ribosomal RNA (758 nucleotides) under uncultured bacterium. RNAcentral describes it as "bacterial SSU rRNA". It matches the Rfam family "Bacterial small subunit ribosomal RNA", at positions 8 to 796 of the family's 1533-position model. The record is from RNAcentral.